This is a non-coding RNA of Megalops atlanticus (tarpon), 70 nucleotides long. NCBI's taxonomy places the organism in Eukaryota, Metazoa, Chordata, Actinopteri, Elopiformes, Megalopidae. The record is from the annotation of a GenBank genome assembly.
CACGGUGUAGCACAGUGGUAGGGUGCAGGGCUUGAAACCAAAAGGUUGCAGGUUCAAUUCCCCACUGGGG